UGUGUGAUCUGUGUUGGAUUUUAACACACCGAAGAAUACUUUUCACUUCAAAACAGUUUGCAUUAAAGGAUCAUGGUAGACAAUUUAAUGCUUUCUUUGAGACUUUUCAGUUCCUUGGCAGUGCUGGGAUUUCAGAUUGUCAUCCCACAACCUUCAAUCGAACACAGAAAGGUGCCCCAGAGGAUAGAGGAGCAACAAGAUGCAUCUGAAGAUGGCGGU
Nothoprocta perdicaria is the source of this 219-nucleotide long non-coding RNA. RefSeq lists it as uncharacterized. The transcript has 3 exons. The record is from RefSeq and is a predicted model, not a curated record. Lineage: Eukaryota; Metazoa; Chordata; Aves; Tinamiformes; Tinamidae.